This 75-nucleotide transfer RNA is filed under the name Caldilineaceae bacterium SB0666_bin_21. RNAcentral's name for it is "tRNA-Gly". It matches the Rfam family "tRNA". From Rfam's summary of the family: Transfer RNA (tRNA) molecules are approximately 80 nucleotides in length. The record is from RNAcentral. Lineage: Bacteria; Bacillati; Chloroflexota; Caldilineae; Caldilineales; Caldilineaceae.
AGGGCAGGGGAUCUCGAUGGUAGAGUCGUGUACUGCCAAUACUCGGGUAGGGGUUCGACUCUCCCUUCUGCCCUA